Molecule: ribosomal RNA, 756 nt
Filed under: Proasellus spelaeus
Lineage: Eukaryota; Metazoa; Arthropoda; Malacostraca; Isopoda; Asellidae
Description: 12S ribosomal RNA
Source: RNAcentral
CCAAAUAGAGGUGAAUUUUUGUUAAUAAUUUUAUUGGAGCUUCCUUCUCCUGUAAGUUUAAAUCUAGCUAAAUAUAUAGGAUUUAUUUAGUGUAUAUAAAAUUAUAGAAUUAAUUAUAAAUUAUUUAGUAUAAAAAAUUUUUUAAACUAGCCAAACUAAUAAAGUAAAUAAAUGAUCUACUAGGUGCCAGCAUUCGCGGUUACACCUAUAUUUAAUAUAUCCCCACAUGGAAUAGGACCUCUUAAUUAAAAAUAAAAACAUUAGAAGUAAAAUUCUGCUUGUUUUUAAUAAAUAUAUAGGCACUCCUUAUAAAUUAACCAAUAAACAGGGAUUAGAUACCCCUUUAUAUAGAAUAAAUUUUCACCUAGGGUAGUAAAUGUUAUAUAACCCCAAACCCAAAGAUUUUGGCGGCAACCAACCUUUCCAGAGAGACCUGUUUAUUUAUUUGACACUCCGCAUUAAAUCUUACUUUUAUUAAAACUUGCAUACCGUCAUCUAAAUUUUAUCUUAAGAUAAAUAUUUUAAAGAUAACAAAAAUGUUAGAUCAACGCGCAGUAGAUAUAAAAGCUCUUAAUGGGUCUCAAUUUAAAUUAAAUAGAAAAAAAUUUAACAAUCUUUAGAAAGAGGAUUUGGAUGUAAUAAUUUUUUAAAAUAAUAUUAUGACUAAGCCAUUGAUUGUGCACAUAUCGCCCGUCGCCCUCGAUCCGAGGUAAGUCGUAACAUAGUAGAAGUACUAGAAAGUGUUUCUUUAUUUAC